CAAAACAUAGCUUAACUAAAGCCCCUCGCUUACACCGAGAAAAUGCCUGUUAGACCCAGACUGUUUUGA
This 69-nucleotide transfer RNA is filed under the name Aplastodiscus weygoldti (Weygoldt's treefrog). Its description in RNAcentral is "tRNA-Val". It matches the Rfam family "tRNA". From Rfam's summary of the family: Transfer RNA (tRNA) molecules are approximately 80 nucleotides in length. Their secondary structure includes four short double-helical elements and three loops (D, anti-codon, and T loops). The record is from RNAcentral. Lineage: Eukaryota; Metazoa; Chordata; Amphibia; Anura; Hylidae.